Molecule: long non-coding RNA, 227 nt
Organism: Calypte anna (Anna's hummingbird)
Lineage: Eukaryota; Metazoa; Chordata; Aves; Apodiformes; Trochilidae
Exons: 4
Source: RefSeq, a predicted model, not a curated record
GCCCCCCCCCAAGCGUCGUCGCCCCCCACGUGAGCUCCUGAGGACCCCCAGCGUUGGUUGGGUCCCCCCCGAACUUGGGGGGCUGUGGGAUCGCUGUGCCCGAGCCUGGAGCCCCCCCAGACCCUCAGAGCUCCCCAGUGAGCUGGAGGUGCCCAGGGGGGUUCUGGAACCUUCUCUGCCCACCCUGCCCUCCUCAGAGCUGUCCCUGGAGGUGCUGGAGGAGGAAG